MicroRNA precursor from Oryza sativa Japonica Group (Japanese rice), 197 nucleotides. It matches the Rfam family "MIR812 microRNA precursor family". NCBI's taxonomy places the organism in Eukaryota, Viridiplantae, Streptophyta, Magnoliopsida, Poales, Poaceae. The record is from Rfam.
AAUAAGUUCAUUUAUAUGUUUAUGUGUGCAAUGUUUGACCGUAUGUCUUAUUUGCUCUUUUUAUGAAUUACUAGUAUUUUUGUUGUUAUUAGAUGAUAAGAUAUAAAUAGUACUUUAUGCAUGACUUGUUUUUUAAAAAUUUUCAGAUAAGACGAACGGUCAAAAGUUAGAUAUAGAAACCUACCAAUAAACUUAUU